GCUGAUGGUCAUACCACCCUGAAUACGCCUGACUGUAUCUGGUUUCAGAAGUCACACAGGGUUGGGCCUGUUUAGUACUUGGGUGGGAGACUGCCUGGGAAUACCAGGUACUGUAAGCU
Molecule: ribosomal RNA, 119 nt
Filed under: Acanthochromis polyacanthus (spiny chromis)
Lineage: Eukaryota; Metazoa; Chordata; Actinopteri; Pomacentridae
Source: RNAcentral